Dipodomys ordii (Ord's kangaroo rat) is the source of this 65-nucleotide non-coding RNA. NCBI's taxonomy places the organism in Eukaryota, Metazoa, Chordata, Mammalia, Rodentia, Heteromyidae. The record is from Rfam.
GGUGGCUCAGUGGUAGAGUGCUUGCCUUGCAUGCAUGAGGUCAUGGGUUCGAUUCCUGAGCACUA